This 433-nucleotide ribosomal RNA is filed under the name uncultured bacterium. RNAcentral's name for it is "partial 16S ribosomal RNA". It matches the Rfam family "Bacterial small subunit ribosomal RNA", at positions 29 to 507 of the family's 1533-position model. The record is from RNAcentral.
AACGAACGCUGGCGGCAUGCCUAACACAUGCAAGUCGAACGAAACCUUCGGGUCUAGUGGCGCACGGGUUCGUAACGCGUGGGAACCUGCCCUUAGGUUCGGAAUAACUCCCCGAAAGGGGUGCUAAUACCGGAUAAUGUCUUCGGACCAAAGAUUUAUCGCCUUUGGAUGGGCCCGCGUUGGAUUAGCUAGUUGGUAGGGUAAAAGACUACCAAGGCGACGAUCCAUAGCUGGUCUGAGAGGAUGAUCAGCCACACUGGGACUGAGACACGGCCCAGACUCCUACGGGAGGCAGCAGUGGGGAACAUUGGACAAUGGGCGAAAGCCUGAUCCAGCAAUGCCGCGUGAGUGAUGAAGGCCUUAGGGUUGUAAAGCUCUUUUACCCGGGAUGAUAAUGACAGUACCGGGAGAAUAAGCUCCGGCUAACUCCGUG